AUUUGCGGGCCCUGGAA
RNAcentral lists this unclassified non-coding RNA (17 nucleotides) under Mus musculus (house mouse). RNAcentral's name for it is "oocyte_clustered_small_RNA4287". The record is from RNAcentral. Lineage: Eukaryota; Metazoa; Chordata; Mammalia; Rodentia; Muridae.